UGGGCAACAAAGGGAGACCCUGUCUCUCUA
Molecule: non-coding RNA, 30 nt
Filed under: Homo sapiens (human)
Lineage: Eukaryota; Metazoa; Chordata; Mammalia; Primates; Hominidae
Source: RNAcentral